Molecule: ribosomal RNA, 388 nt
Filed under: uncultured bacterium
Lineage: Bacteria
Description: bacterial SSU rRNA
Rfam family: Bacterial small subunit ribosomal RNA
Source: RNAcentral
GACGAACGCUGGCGGCGUGCUUAACACAUGCAAGUCGAGCGGUAAGGCCCUUUCGGGGGUACACGAGCGGCGAACGGGUGAGUAACACGUGGGUGACCUGCCCUCAGCUCUGGGAUAAGCCUGGGAAACCGGGUCUAAUACCGGAUAUGACUCCAUGACGCAUGUUGUGGGGUGGAAAGCCUUGUGCGGCUGAGGAUGGGCCCGCGGCCUGUCAGCUUGUUGGUGGGGUGAUGGCCUACCAAGGCGACGACGGGUAGCCGGCCUGAGAGGGCGACCGGCCACACUGGGACUGAGACACGGCCCAGACUCCUACGGGAGGCAGCAGUGGGGAAUCUUGCGCAAUGGGCGAAAGCCUGACGCAGCGACGCCGCGUGAGGGAUGACGGCCU